UUUUGUGUGUGAUAUGCUUUAGGAGCUUGGUUAUUUAUACCUUGUCUCUAGCAUGCAUUGACUCCAAUAUUAUUAUUUCUCGACCUCAUAUAGUUGUGACUUCUACAUAAGUCCAAUUACGUUUGCUUAACAUAGCGCUAAAUUUUUCCCGAAAGCAAUAACAUUUUUGUAAGUGAGAUUGUAAGUAUCCCAUUCCUCAUGGUAUUGUGUGAAGAUUUUACCUCUUUUACAUUUUUGAGAGCUAGUGACAUACUUG
Molecule: long non-coding RNA, 256 nt
Filed under: Lathyrus oleraceus (garden pea)
Lineage: Eukaryota; Viridiplantae; Streptophyta; Magnoliopsida; Fabales; Fabaceae
Description: Pisum sativum (pea) long non-coding RNA (PSAT_LNC016686)
Source: RNAcentral